RNAcentral lists this ribosomal RNA (484 nucleotides) under uncultured bacterium. RNAcentral's name for it is "bacterial SSU rRNA". It matches the Rfam family "Bacterial small subunit ribosomal RNA", at positions 8 to 518 of the family's 1533-position model. The record is from RNAcentral.
AGAGUUUGAUUAUGGCUCAGGAUGAACGCUGGCGGCGUGCCUAACACAUGCAAGUCGAGCGAUUCUCUUCGGAGAAGAGCGGCGGACGGGUGAGUAACGCGUGGGUAACCUGCCCUAUACACACGGAUAACGUACCGAAAGGUACGCUAAUACGAGAUAAUAUGCUUUAGUCGCAUGGCUGAAGUAUCAAAGCUCCGGCGGUAUAGGAUGGACCCGCGUCUGAUUAGCUAGUUGGUAAGGUAAUGGCUUACCAAGGCGACGAUCAGUAGCCGACCUGAGAGGGUGAUCGGCCACAUUGGAACUGAGACACGGUCCAAACUCCUACGGGAGGCAGCAGUGGGGAAUAUUGCACAAUGGGCGAAAGCCUGAUGCCAGCAACGCCGCGUGAGCGAUGAAGGCCUUCGGGUCGUAAAGCUCUGUCCUCAAGGAAGAUAAUGACGGUACUUGAGGAGGAAGCCCCGGCUAACUACGUGCCAGCCGCCGC